Anopheles stephensi (Asian malaria mosquito) is the source of this 2959-nucleotide RNA transcript. It is a transcript of the gene named phospholipase A-2-activating protein, with no coding region annotated. NCBI's taxonomy places the organism in Eukaryota, Metazoa, Arthropoda, Insecta, Diptera, Culicidae. The transcript is spliced from 4 exons. The record is from RefSeq and is a predicted model, not a curated record.
CACCCAUUCGCUAUCUCUCUCUUCCCAAUGAAGCGACGCGGAACAGCUGCCGGCAUUGGCAGUGAGUCGGUAAUUUUGCGGACCGUCUCGCUCCGAAGGUGAAAAAGAAGGCUGCGUGUCGCACACACACGCACACUAAAAAGGUAAACAUAAUCGACGAGACUGGGAAGUUUUGAAGAGGCUAUAAUAAUACUCCUGCAAGGUGGGCACCGAUCUAACGACUUGCUGCACAAUGGUUAAAAUCGAAGACUUUAAGCUAUCGUGCGAACUGGUGGGCCACAAGCUAGACGUUCGAGCCGUAGCCGAAGGUGCGGGCUUCAUUGUGUCUGGUUCGCGUGAUAAAACGGCCAAAGUUUGGCAAGCUUUCGGCAAACAUUACGAGGACAAGGAAACGCUCAAGAAUCACACCAACUACGUCGGUGCCGUGCUGGUGGUUGAAUCGAACGGAUGGAUCUGCACGGGCAGUAACGAUGCAACGAUUUGCAUUUUUCCGUACCCCGGCAGUGGUGCGCACCCGACGGAACCGAUUGGCGUGUUGAAGGGCCACACGUCCACGGUGUGUGCGUUGGCAGCGGGCCAUAAUGCGAGCACGCUCAUCUCCGGCAGCUGGGAUAAGACGGCCAAAAUCUGGACCAACGCUCCCGGGUCCAGCACGAACAUUACGCUGGUCGGGCAUGAGGCAGCCGUGUGGGCCGUCGCCUGCCUCCCGAACGGACGGUACGCUUCCGGCUCGGCAGACAAAAACAUUGUCGUGUGGAGCGAAAAGGGCGAGAAGCUGGUGGUGCUGAAGGGCCACAAGGACUGUGUGCGGGGACUGUGUCCGUUGCCAAAGGGUGGAUUUUUGAGCUGCUCGAACGAUGCCACCAUCCGGCACUGGAGUGAUACGUACGAGUGUGUGAAAGAGUUCCACGGGCACAGCAACUACAUCUACAGCAUUGGCCGGUCGGAUGCGUGGGGCGAUGAGGUGUUUGUUACGGGCGGGGAGGACAGCACGAUACGCAUGUGGCACCUGCGGGAAGGUGCGCUCGGCGACGCGCUCCAAAUGCCGGCCCAAUCCGUGUGGGCUGUGGCGGGGCUAAAAAGCGGCGACAUCGUUGCCGGUACGAGUGAUGCGAUCGUGCGCGUGUUUAGCGCCAACCCGGAGCGUAUAGCGCCGGAAGAGACGUUGGCCGCAUACCGGGUGGCGGUCGAGGUGCGUCAAUCGGAAUCGGCCAAACAGCUGGGCGGUAUGAAUGUGAACGAUCUGCCCGGGCCCGAAUCGUUGCUGUCCGAGGGUCGCGACGGGCAGACGCGUAUCGUGCGCCAUCCGAAUGGGAAGAUCCUGUGCUACCAGUGGACCAACGGGAAGUGGGACUGUGUCGGCGACGUGAUGGGUGCCAGUGACGGUGAUACCGGGAAGCAGCUGUACGAGGGUCGCGAGUACGAUUACGUGUUUUCCGUAAACCUGUCGGACGAUGCGCCCAACCUAAAGCUGCCGUACAAUCGGGGCGAAGAUCCGUGGUUUGUGGCGCAGCGGUUCAUCCACAAGCACAACCUGCCGCAAGCGUACCUCGACCAGGUGGCGAACUUUAUCGUUAAAAAUUCCGACAGUGCACCGGUGGCCAGUGCGCUGGCGAACAGUUACUACGAUCCGUUUACGGGCGGCUCCCGGUACGUGCCCGGUUCAUCCGGUGGCCAGUUUCAACCGUCCGCCGCCAAUACCGACCCAUUUACGGGCGCCUCGAGCUACACGACCCAGACGCCGAACGUGGCCGUAGCACCGAAUGCGGGUGGUGGGGCUGGUGCGGCCAAUGGGGCCGGUGGCAAUUUGGAUCCGUUCACGGGCGGAUCAAGCUACACGACCGGAUCGACCGAGGUGAAGAAAAGCAACACACACUUCCCGCACCGGCAUUACAUACUGCUGGAGAAUGCCGACCUGUCGAAGGUGCUGGUAAAGUUGAAAGAGCUGAACGGCAACAUCGAAGAUCAAAGCCUUCGCCUGUCGGACGAAACGCUCAACGAUAUUGUACGGUACGCGGGCGAAGUAAUGACCUGCGGGGAACAGAAUUCGGCGUGCCUUACCGCACUUAAGUUCCUGUACACCACCUGGCCGACGGAGAAACUGUUCCCCAUCAUGGACAUUACGCGGCUGAUCGUGCGUGAACCACGCGCCUGCCAGGAGCUGUUCGAGGACGCCUCCUUCAUGGAAACGUUCCUGCAGCACACGAACCAUUUACCGGCCAACCAGCUAAUGUCUGCCCGUUGCUUCACCAACAUGCUAGCGCACCAGCCGGGACGCAACGUGGUGGUCGAAAACAUCCGCACCAUUGUGGAUCGGUUCGGGUCGGUGCGUGGUGCUGGGUGCAGCGCAAACCUGCAGAUUGCGCUGGCCAGCUUCUAUCUGAAUCUAACCAUGACUCAGCUAGACAAACUGUCGUCGGUGGAAUUUUGCAAGGUACUGGCCGGUACGACCGGUGAGCUGCUGUGCUGGCUCACCGACAACGAGGCAACGUACCGUGGGUAUCAGGCGCUCGGCAAUCUGCUUAGCAUUCCCGGCCCGGGCAUGGGUGCGAUCGCCGAAACGCUGAAGGCGAACAGUGCCCUGACGGACAAGAUACUGUUCAACAUUAGCAGCGAGCUGCCAAACUUUGGCAAGCUAAACGACUGUGCUAGCUACCUGUACGAGCUGCUGCUGGUGUAAUGCGGACGGAGCGUGGUAGGGCUUGCACGACCAAUGCUCAUCGUCGGUACACUCUUUCAAUUAGCUUCGAAUAACGUAACGAGUGGCCUAAAUGGGGAAGUUUCUUCUUCCGGGGGAACCACAUGUAUCAGGAAAGUUCAUCACUAAAGAAGUCCCUUCAACUUGUCCUGGAACGGGACUCGCAUGCCUAUAAUAAUAAUGUCUCCAGAACUGCUCCAAAGUCUAGACUCAUAACAAGAAGUGAAUAAAGUUGUUAAUUAAAUUUAUUUUUAUUUCGCA